This 151-nucleotide ribosomal RNA is filed under the name uncultured ammonia-oxidizing bacterium. RNAcentral describes it as "partial 16S ribosomal RNA". It matches the Rfam family "Bacterial small subunit ribosomal RNA", at positions 381 to 524 of the family's 1533-position model. The record is from RNAcentral.
ACCUGAUCCAGCCAUGCCGCGUGAGUGAAGAAGGCCUUCGGGUUGUAAAGCUCUUUCAGCCGGAACGAAACGGUCACGGCUAAUACCUGUGAUUACUGACGGUACCGGAAGAAGAAGCACCGGCUAACUACGUGCCAGCAGCCGCGGUAAA